GCUUUCCUUGUCAUGGGGUGGAACGGGAGGCUCAAUGAACGGAUAGUGAGAGCCGCCCUGCUGACACCAGAGCAACACUCACGCAUCACCCGGGCUCCGCGCUCGGGCUGAGGUGCAAUUUUUGGAACA
Small nuclear RNA from Eleginops maclovinus (Patagonian blennie), 129 nucleotides. RefSeq annotates it as U4atac minor spliceosomal RNA. NCBI's taxonomy places the organism in Eukaryota, Metazoa, Chordata, Actinopteri, Perciformes, Eleginopidae. The transcript has a single exon. The record is from RefSeq and is a predicted model, not a curated record.